This 65-nucleotide transfer RNA is filed under the name Gesonula punctifrons. RNAcentral's name for it is "tRNA-Asp". It matches the Rfam family "tRNA". Rfam says of the family: Transfer RNA (tRNA) molecules are approximately 80 nucleotides in length. Their secondary structure includes four short double-helical elements and three loops (D, anti-codon, and T loops). The record is from RNAcentral. Lineage: Eukaryota; Metazoa; Arthropoda; Insecta; Orthoptera; Acrididae.
AAGGAGUUAGUUAAUUAUAACAUUAGAUUGUCAAUCUAAAAUUACUAAAAAUUUAGUGCACCUUG